Molecule: ribosomal RNA, 253 nt
Filed under: uncultured bacterium
Lineage: Bacteria
Description: partial 16S ribosomal RNA
Rfam family: Archaeal small subunit ribosomal RNA
Source: RNAcentral
UACCAGCACCCCGAGUGGUCGGGACGAUUAUUGGGCCUAAAGCAUCCGUAGCCGGUUCUACAAGUCUUCCGUUAAAUCCACCUGCUUAACAGAUGGGCUGCGGAGGAUACUAUGGAGCUAGGAGGCGGGAGAGGCAAGCGGUACUUAGUGGGUAGGGGUAAAAUCCGUUGAUCCAUUGAAGACCACCAGUGGUGAAGGCGGCUUGCCAGAACGCACUCGACGGUGAGGGAUGAAAGCUGGGGGAGCAAACCGG